UGCGUGGGCUGCCUCGUAGCACUGCAGCCCGUGUUAUACCCUCACAGCUCCUAGCACAGCUUCUCUCCAGCCUCCUUACUCUGCCGAGCGGAGAUCAAAGCCGUGAGGAUAGGAUGUAGACGGCUGGGGCACUAGCAGAUCCCUGGGAUGGUACAGACGGCCCGCAGAAGUCACCCGCGUACUUCAGGAGGCUGCGUGGACUGCUUCGUCUCUCGCAGGAUCCUCCAGAACGAACAUGCAGGAGCUCCUCAAGCGCUGGUCCCGGCGCAACCCAGGGCGUCAGUGUCCGGCAGCUGGGCUUCAGCCACGGGCGGAAGACCGUGCACCGAGGCUUGUUUGCAGAGUUCCCCACGUCGGCGAAGCCAUCACACGGACAGGGCUCAGCUAUUCCCGUUCGCUGGAGCUACACGU
This is a non-coding RNA of Lonchura striata (white-rumped munia), 411 nucleotides long. Lineage: Eukaryota; Metazoa; Chordata; Aves; Passeriformes; Estrildidae. The record is from RefSeq and is a predicted model, not a curated record.